Molecule: long non-coding RNA, 260 nt
Filed under: Mytilus galloprovincialis (Mediterranean mussel)
Lineage: Eukaryota; Metazoa; Mollusca; Bivalvia; Mytilida; Mytilidae
Source: RNAcentral
AUACAAAUCAGUGCUCUAGCUAGAAAUCAAAAGGGGCAGGGUGCCAGUGGAGGGCAGGGCACUUUUUAUGAUAAGAAAAGGCACUGCUCAUUUUUUUUGUCUACGUUUCUGUGUGUAUCACGAGUUAACGAAUCUCUUUUUUUUUUUUGCUGUAUAUGUUGUUUUUUUUAAAUAAAGAUGCUUUUCAACUAUAGUCUUUAUUUCAUUGUUUGUGUAGUUAUGAAUGAUAUAGUACAUCUUCAUCAACAGAUUAUGUUUUU